This 362-nucleotide ribosomal RNA is filed under the name uncultured bacterium. RNAcentral describes it as "bacterial SSU rRNA". It matches the Rfam family "Bacterial small subunit ribosomal RNA", at positions 30 to 404 of the family's 1533-position model. The record is from RNAcentral.
AUUGAACGCUGGCGGCAGGCUUAACACAUGCAAGUCGAGCGGAGACUUCGGUCUUAGCGGCGAACGGGUGAGGAAUGCCUGGGAAUCUGCCUGGUAGUGGGGGAUAACGUUCCGAAAGGAACGCUAAUACCGCAUACGUCCUACGGGAGAAAGCAGGGGGACCUUCGGGCCUUGCGCUAUCAGAUGAGCCCAGGUCGGAUUAGCUAGUAGGUGAGGUAAAGGCUCACCUAGGCGACGAUCCGUAGCUGGUCUGAGAGGAUGAUCAGCCACACUGGAACUGAGACACGGUCCAGACUCCUACGGGAGGCAGCAGUGGGAAUAUUGGACAAUGGGCGAAAGCCUGAUCCAGCCAUGCCGCGUGU